Pseudopipra pipra is the source of this 1196-nucleotide long non-coding RNA. RefSeq lists it as uncharacterized. NCBI's taxonomy places the organism in Eukaryota, Metazoa, Chordata, Aves, Passeriformes, Pipridae. The record is from RefSeq and is a predicted model, not a curated record. The transcript is spliced from 2 exons.
UUUGUCCACAAGAUAAGAACUUUCUUGGUCUUCUAGAGAGUGUGGAGGUCACCUUCACCUGCUGCUCCCACUGGAAGCCAGGCUUUUUCCCACCCAUCCAAGGACUGGGCUGCCCACCGUGCCAGCAGACAGGACAAUCCAAGGAACAUCUGCCAGGAUGGACAUAUGUUGUCAAUCUCUUUUGUAAAUUCUGUAAGAAGCUGUCAGCAUAAGCCAGCUCUGAUGGAAAGACCAGCCACACCACAACAAGCUGCCUUUGGGCUGACAAGGAAGAUGGGGUCUCUGGUAGCCUGUGGUUACCAAAUUGUUCCCCUGGUACCUGAUGGAAGAAGGGCACUAACUCUGCAUUAGCAGCCUCCAAUAAACCUGCCUCUCCAGUCUAGCCAGCAACUCUGCUUGGACACUGUUUUUUCCCUUUCAAGUUGUUGCUAUGAAACACCAAAACAACUACCUCCAUUUUUCAAUGGCGAGGGAAAAGUGCUCUCAUACAGCUUGAUAAACCAUGCUGAGCUCCUUUCAUGAAGAAAGCAAUUCAAUGAUGCCAGAGGCCAAGAGGACCAUUCCUGCCUCCUGCUGACGUUAGCUCCUCAAGACUCAUUGACAAGAUGUCUCCCUCCAGGACAUUUAGGCUGCUGAUGCUGAAGGCAAACAUAAUUUCUCCCCCAUUAUUUCUAGCUUGAUCAGCCUAGGAUUAGAAAAAAAAAAUCCAAACCAAAAACCAAACCCUAAAAAUGAUAAUAUAAAAAUAACAACAAAAAUUUGGCACAGUUCCCGGUCUUUGUUGCUCAGCCCCUGAUGUCUGGAUGGCUCUGCAGGACCUGGAGGAGUGUGAGUCCCUGUGUAUGAGGAGUACACAGGGUUUGCCUGGGGCAGGGCAGAGAUAAGCAAGAAGAAAUCAGUUUUGGAGAAACUUUUUCACCCUAAAUUGCAUAUUAAUGGCAUCUUAAAAUGACAACAAAUGCCUGUCUGUGUAGCUCUGGCCUUUGAUCUUUUCCAUCGUUCUGCUGUUUUAAGAGGCCAGAAGAUUAAAGGGGACCCCUGCAUGUCCCACAGUGCCACCACAGAGUGGCCUUGGAUGACUUGGUCCCUGGAAGUUGCCACUCAUGGCUGAGAUCCCCAACUUAUAAAGUCAGAAGUGGUUUCCAAUAAAAGGAAAAAGCCUUCAUCUUGGCCAGGUGAAGGCUGAAUGCAAACAG